AAGAAUAAAUAAAUGCAUUUUCGCGCUGCAGGGGAAAGUCCGGUGGGAAUCCGGCGCUGACCUGCAACCGUGUGCGGUGGCCCCCACCACCGCGAGUCGGAUCGCCCGAGGCGCGAGGAGACACGGU
Molecule: non-coding RNA, 127 nt
Filed under: Nocardiopsis flavescens
Lineage: Bacteria; Bacillati; Actinomycetota; Actinomycetes; Streptosporangiales; Nocardiopsidaceae
Source: RNAcentral